Anas platyrhynchos (mallard) is the source of this 6119-nucleotide non-coding RNA. The record is from RefSeq and is a predicted model, not a curated record. NCBI's taxonomy places the organism in Eukaryota, Metazoa, Chordata, Aves, Anseriformes, Anatidae.
GCCUGAGGAGUCCCUGUCCUCACCUCAGGGCACGAGUGAGGCACCCUUGCCCAUGUCAUGAGGGGCGGAAGGGCCCCAGAGCCACCCCAGCUCGGCACAGGUGGUGCUGAGGGGCAGCUGCUGCUCUUUGGCCUCUCACCUGCAGCUUGUCCCCACUAACGGGUCUCCCUGUGGCACGGCAUAUGGCUGCUGCCCAUGAGGCCUGUGGGGAGCAGGGGGAGGUGGGUGAGGAGGCCUGGGCCAGGGAGCUGCAGGUGCCUUUCCUCACUGUCCUCCUGAAGGAGCUCUCUGUGGGGAUGCAGAGUGAUCCUGCCUCAUCCUUCCUGAGGAGAAGCCACAGCGCCAGCUUGAUGCAGAGGAUAAAACCUACUUCCAUGGCUGGAAGCUUUCUAACGGGGUUUGAACUUAAAGCAGAUGAAGCAGCUUUGUCUCCGCCCUGUUUCAAAGCCAGGUGCAACAGAAGAAAUAGAGAACAAUGAUCACUAGGGAGCUUCUCUAUGAGACAAAUUCCCACUGAAGGAGGGAACCUCUAAUGCAGGAGACCAGAUACAGUCGCGAACAUGCUACCAAAUAAGAGAGGACAAUUGUUUUACAGUUUGUUUUUUUUAUUAUUAUUAUUUUUUAUUAUUAUUAUUAUUAUAUAAGAACUGGUACCAAAGCAUCUUGAGUGGACUUAAGGCUGCACUCCAGUGCUUCUUCCUGGCAGAUCUGAAGUCUCCUGCUUCUUCAGAGGAGCAGCUGCCUCCAUCACCGUUUUGGCAGAUCUGAGGUCUCCUGCCUCUUCAGAGGAGCAGCUGUCUCCAUCACCGUUUUGGCAGAUGUGAAGCUUUCUGCUUCUUCAGAGGAGCAGCUGCCUCCAUCACCGUUUUGGCAGAUGUGGAGCUUUCUGCUUCUUCAGAGGAGCAGCUGUCUCCAUCACCGUUUUGGCAGAUGUGAAGCUUUCUGCUUCUUCAGAGGAGCAGCUGUCUCCAUCACUGUUUUGGCAGAUCUGCUGCAGUCUCUGUGCACCACCAUGGAGGGCGCAGCUCCGUCUUUCAAGCACCUUCUCGUUGGGCAGCCUUCUCAUUCUCAGACUGAGACACCCAAGGCCCAGCGCAGCCUUCUGAGGGGGCCUCCUGUCGCCCCGGCGUAACAGCCCAAACGAAGUCAAGUCCACUCUUGCCUGCUCCUCGGGACUCCGAGCAGAAGAGAUGACACCUCUGAACGAGAGGUGGGGAUGGGGGAUGGGGAUGGGGGAGGGGGAUAGGGAAGGAGGCCACCCCACAGGCAAGCCUGCUUGAUGGUAUUUGGGUGGCCUCCCCCCUAAUGGCGGCGGAGGCUGUGCCGUGGAUAUGGAGCUUUCCGGGCGCUCCUGCAAUGCAGACGUUUCCUUGCAGGUGGGAGCCCUGGCACGGUGACAUUGUGCCAAGCCACAUGGGCUGGAGGUGGAUCCACCUCCAUCGGUUCGUCGACCUCUGGAGCCGGAUCCACCUCCAUGGGCUCCACAUCUGCCGCACCGGUCGCUCCAUACCCGUCGUCACUCCUCCGCCGCCAUUUACACUGUGGUUCCAUGAACCACUUGGCUGCGCGCAGCUGCGGGCAGUUCGUCUUCCAGGGUCUCUUCAGUCCAGCCAUGCUGGCAAUCGCUGAGAACCUGGAAGAUGAGUGAGUGGCGGGCCAGGCGCAGGGGCUUUUAUAGGCCCCUGUCACAAUGCGAGGGGCAGAUGCCACUGUGACAUCAGGACGCCUCAGCGAUGCCCCCAUGACAACGUGCCACGCCCGAGGCCAAGCGUGGCCAUGUUGGGAGUGGGUUUCUGCAGCCUGGAAGAGGCCCUUAUGUGAAAGGAGGCCUGCAGGUGGGGGAAAGAGAGGGGGCCACUCUGAGGUGCCCCCUUGCCCUCAUCUCUAGUGUUCAGGAGAAACCUUCUCUGUGGCUUCUUGCUUCCUCGUUUGGAGGAAGAGCUCUCCCAGCUGGUUGGGAGACUGCAAAAGGAUGCCAUGUGGAACUCCCUGCAGUGACAUACAUUUUGGGAAGAGCCAGUAGGAACUAGAAACCUCAUGAAGAGGUUGCUUUCGUUAUGUGGAGGUGGAAUGUGGAUGCUGAAUGUUAGACGUCUUGGUCAAAUGAGUCAGUGCAUUUCAAAGCAAACCAAACCGAGCAAAUAAAAAGCAAUGCUUUGACAAGCACAAAGCUUUCAGGAGCUGUUCGGUGUUGAAAUUGUGAAACAAGGCACCCCCAGCCACAUCGUGCUUUGAGGUUAUUAAGAGUCUCAUCACAGAAUGGCUGAGGUUGGAAAGGACCUCUGGAGAUCAUCUGGUCCCACCCCUCUGCCAAGCAGGGUCACCUCAAGCACACUGCACAGAAUUGCAUCCAAGUGGGUUUGGAGUAUCUCCAGAGAAGGAGAUGCCACAGUCUCUCUGGGCAACCUGUUCCAGUGCUCCACAUUUCAGCCAUUACGAGCGUACCAAGAAACUUCUAGACUAAACUGUGCAGAGACUAUGCUACGGUGACCUAUUCUGUGGGAGAGCAACAAAGAAACGUGGUCAAAUCACUGUUCUUAGCUGAAAGAAGUCUCGUAUGCACAGUAACCAGGUGCCCUUUCACACACCUUGCUCAUCUUCCAUUCUUAGCAAAUCCCCAUAACAUCCGUUAGGUUCACACCUACAUGUAGGAGCGAGGAAACAUUCAGGCUUGAGCUAGCUGGUCACCACUAAGGUCCAGAGGCUCGCGUGCCUUCAUCCCAGAGAACAGGUGGCAAAAGCAGUCAGGUUUGCACAGGUGCCCCCCUGAAAUCGGUGCAAAUCUUGCCAUUGAUCUUCUACAGUAGUGGAAUUAAGCUGACAUUAAAUGAUUUUUAAGGGUUGUAACAGAAGUUUUACGAGAAAAAGGAAAAGAGCAGUUGUGUUGUACAUGUAUGCACUACCUCCAGCAAGCAUCCCAGUCCAGCAAUCUCCACUUCCCAUGGGCUGCCGUAGUUUGGAGGAGAUGGUCAGCACUGGAGGUAAGGCACUGCUAGGGUAGUUAGGCACCCUCACAACUACAAGUCUCAAGAAGCUUGGUAGGUGUGCAGAUUUAAAUGUGGCACAUAUGAACUGGAACACCAAACAGCAGCUCUUCAAAGGCAGUCAUAUGCUUAAAACUUUGUAUAGAAGCAGCACUACAAUUUGCUCUGAUAAGGCUUUCCCCCCCCACCCCCCCAGGGCCCCAAACUGCAGAAAGGAGAAGAUCCCUCCCCAGGGCAUCACAGUGCUGUGAUGCUCCUUUGCCUGCCGGUCACACAGCCUGAAGAAAGCCAGGUCUUGCAAGGAGGCAGGUAAAAGCACAGAUGGAAAGAAAAAAGGAAAAGAAAAGGAAGCUGCUGCUGCUGAGCCCCCUUGGGACUCCUGGCAGCAUGGCUGAGACCUUGCCUGCAGCCUGCUUGCCUCAGGCUCACAGCAUCACCCUCAGCUCCCCUCCCUCGCUCUGCCAAGAGCAACCGGAGGGCAUCAUCUCUAUUUACAGCCAGCAAAGAUCAGGGAGAUAACAUCUCAAAAACGAGGAAUUUUUAGAUUUAGAAAAAAAUCAUUUCCUUCUUUUCCAUAGCAAAAUAGAAAAGGGAAACCAAAACAACAGAAAGAAGAGUGCUCGCAAAGCCAGGGCAGGGAAAGGACUUGAAAAACAAUGUUUUCUUUUAUUUUCCUUAUUUCCCUCAAUGCCAAAGGAAACAUAUAUGUAUAUACAUAUGAAAAAGUCUCAUUCUCAUGGUAGACACCAUACUUUUUUUUGUUGUUGUUGACUGAGAUCGCCUAUCUGCAAAUUAGAAAGAGCUGCGUUUUGGGACCACAUUUCUCUCUUCUACUGAAGAAGUCUGCUAGUUUUUAAAUGUUUUGGGACAAAACAAGGAACACAACAAAAAGCUGACCAUUAGAUAGCCAUUGGAUGCAUACUAAAAUCAAACUUGUGAAACUUUCAUCUGAGUGUGUGUGUGCUUACAGGAGAUAAAUAUGUAAUACGUUACAGGAUAUCAAAACUGAUCUACUGUUCUCUCUUAUUUUGCCAGCUCUUUGGAUUAGACAACACGGCUUCCCUACCCUGCACUAUGAAUCAGGGAGAGGAAAAGUUUUUAUAUUAAAGAAUACAUUUUUCAAAGCCUGAUUAUACAUUCUUGGCUGAGAGGAAUUACUACUAGAAAUAUUGUGCUGAAAUAUAUUCUCAGCACAAUGCAAACGGCUUUUGCUGUGGAUUUCAGGAGAGUAAUGAAAUCUCAUUAAACCCCAAAAUGGGCAGACACUGCACCUUUCCAAACCAGGUCUAGUUUCCUGACAUUUCUACUUUAGCAGCAGAUGAUUUUAGACAUACUUUUAAUACACCUCAGUAUGUCUGCCUUUCAUUGCAUAACAUUCAUUUAUGUUUGAAAAGGGAAACGGCACCAACUGUACAUCAAAUUGCUCCGUACUGAGCCUAUAAACGGUGAUCAUGGUGUCUUUAUGCAUCAGAAAAUGACAAGUUUAAACAGCAAGAAUGAGGCACCCUUGUACUGCAAUAGCAAAUUUUACCCAAACUGCAUGGGUGGAAAAGUGCAUGUGGUAUAACCCAUUUACGUAACAGAGUGACCGUGUACAACAUUUUGGACCUUUGUUCUGUUUAAGACAAACACCCAGGAGCAGCAGAUACUACCUGUGCCAUUACUUUGUAUUACAAUGCAUUUAGUGAAGCACAGCUUAUCAAGAGCUGUCUCCCACUGUAUUCUUGCUUCUUUCUUCUCAGCUACUUCCAUGGCUGGAAGCUUUCUAACGGGGUUUGAACUUAAAGCAGAUGAAGCAGCUUUGUCUCCGCCCUGUUUCAAAGCCAGGUGCAACAGAAGAAAUAGAGAACAAUGAUCACUAGGGAGCUUCUCUAUGAGACAAAUUCCCACUGAAGGAGGGAACCUCUAAUGCAGGAGACCAGAUACAGUCGCGAACAUGCUACCAAAUAAGAGAGGACAAUUGUUUUACAGUUUGUUUUUUUUUUAUUAUUAUUAUUUUUUAUUAUUAUUAUUAUUAUAUAAGAACUGGUACCAAAGUAUCUUGAGUGGACUUAAGGCUGCACUCCAGUGCUUCUUCCUGGCAGAUCUGAAGUCUCCUGCUUCUUCAGAGGAGCAGCUGUCUCCAUCACCGUUUUGGCAGAUGUGGAGCUUUCUGCUUCUUCAGAGGAGCAGCUGUCUCCAUCACCGUUUUGGCAGAUGUGAAGCUUUCUGCUUCUUCAGAGGAGCAGCUGCCUCCAUCACCGUUUUGGCAGAUGUGGAGCUUUCUGCUUCUUCAGAGGAACAGCUGCCUCCAUCACCGUUUUGGCAGAUGUGAAGCUUUCUGCUUCUUCAGAGGAGCAGCUGUCUCCAUCACCGUUUUGGCAGAUGUGAAGCUUUCUGCUUCUUAGAGGAGCAGCUGUCUCCAUCACUGUUUUGGCAGAUCUGACAUCUCCUGCUUCUUCACAGGAGCAGCUGUCUCCAUCACCGUUUUGGCAGAUGUGAAGCUUUCUGCUUCUUCAGAGGAGCAGCUGUCUCCAUCACUGUUUUGGCAGAUCUGCUGCAGUCUCUGUGCACCACCAUGGAGGGCGCAGCUCCGUCUUUCAAGCACCUUCUCGUUGGGCAGCCUUCUCAUUCUCAGACUGAGACACCCAAGGCCCAGCGCAGCCUUCUGAGGGGGCCUCCUGUCGCCCCGGCGUAACAGCCCAAACGAAGUCAAGUCCACUCUUGCCCGCUCCUCGGGACUCCGAGCAGAAGAGAUGACACCUCUGAACGAGAGGUGGGGAUGGGGGAUGGGGAUGGGGGAGGGGGAUAGGGAAGGAGGCCACCCUACAGGCAAGCCUGCUUGAUGGUAUUUGGGUGGCCUCCCCCCUAAUGGCGGCGGAGGCUGUGCCGUGGAUAUGGAGCUUUCCGGGCGCUCCUGCAGUGUAGAUGUUUCCUUGCAGGUGGGAGCCCUGGCACGGUGACAUUGUGCCAAGCCACAUGGGCUGGAGGUGGAUCCACCUCCAUCGGUUCGUCGACCUCUGGAGCCGGAUCCACCUCCAUGGGCUCCACAUCUGCCGCACCGGUCGCUCCAUACCCGUCGUCACUCCUCCGCCGCCAUUUACACUGUGGUUCCAUGAACCACUUGGCUGCGCGCAGCUGCGGGCAGUUCGUCUU